UCCAACCCCUGUGACAUACCUAUACGUUGCCUCGGCGGAUCAGCCCGCGCCCUGUAAAAAGGGACGGCCCGCCCGAGGACCCUAAACUCUGUUUUUAGUGGAACUUCUGAGUAAAACAAACAAAUAAAUCAAAACUUUCAACAACGGAUCUCUUGGUUCUGGCAUCGAUGAAGAACGCAGCAAAAUGCGAUAAGUAAUGUGAAUUGCAGAAUUCAGUGAAUCAUCGAAUCUUUGAACGCACAUUGCGCCCGCCAGUAUUCUGGCGGGCAUGCCUGUUCGAGCGUCAUUUCAACCCUCAAGCUCAGCUUGGUGUUGGGACUCGCGGUAACCCGCGUUCCCCAAAUCGAUUGGCGGUCACGUCGAGCUUCCAUAGCGUAGUAAUCAUACACCUCGUUACUGGUAAUCGUCGCGGCCACGCCGUAAAACCCCAACUUCUGAAUGUUGACCUCGGAUCAGGUAGGAAUACCCGCUGAACUUAAGCAUAUCAAUAAGCGGAGGA
RNAcentral lists this ribosomal RNA (499 nucleotides) under Fusarium chlamydosporum. RNAcentral describes it as "eukaryotic LSU rRNA". The stretch from base 133 to 286 matches the Rfam family "5.8S ribosomal RNA". The record is from RNAcentral. Lineage: Eukaryota; Fungi; Ascomycota; Sordariomycetes; Hypocreales; Nectriaceae.